AUGUCUGUGGUCGUGGAAGUGAUCCAGGCGUGUUUUUGGCCUCGCCAUGUGGGGUCUUCGUCCCCCGACAGGUGGCGGAACCAGAGCCCCUGGCAAUGCAAGCAUGCGGUCUUAACCCCUGGGCCGCCGGGGAGACCCCGUGGACGUGAUCCCACUGUUAACACAGGAGACACCAUCAGUGUUACGUGUGGGAGAGGGCGGGUGCGUGCUCUCCCUGCUCUGGUCCUGAGUACACAGCCACACACUGUCCAGCGUGGACGCAGCGGUUCUCCAAAUGCUAUGCUCCAACACUUCCGUCACGUGAUGCCAAGAGCUGACUCAUUGGAAGAGACCCUGAUGCUGGGAAAGAUUGAAGGCGGGAGGAGAAGGGGACGACGGACGAUGAGAUGGCUGGACGGCAUCACUGAAUCCACGGACAUGAGUUUCAGCAAGCUCUGGGAGUUGGUGAUGGACAGGGAGGCCUGGUGUGCUGGAGUCCAUGGGGUCGCAAGGAGUCGGACACAACUGAGUGACUGACAACAUGCUAAAUAAAAUACAGUUGGCCUUCA
This 548-nucleotide long non-coding RNA is filed under the name Bos indicus x Bos taurus (hybrid cattle). RNAcentral's name for it is "lncRNA (ENSBIXG00005007347.1)". The record is from RNAcentral. Lineage: Eukaryota; Metazoa; Chordata; Mammalia; Artiodactyla; Bovidae.